UCUGAUGAUAGAACCAGAGUCAACUGGUGUUUGAAGCAUAUGGCAAAGGCAUCAGAAAUCAGGCAAGAUCUACAACUUCUCACUGUAGAGGACCUUGUAGUGGGGAUCUACCAACAAAAAUUUCUCAAGGAGCCCUCUAAGACUUGGAUUCGAAGCCUCCUAGAUGUGGCCAUGUGGGAUUAUUCUAGCAACACAAGGUAUUGCUAGCAUUUUUGUUUUAGAGUCAUUUUGACUUAUUUUCUAAACUAAGAAAAUAUGGUAGGACUAUUUUUGCCUUUUUAUGCAAUAUUUUCCCAUGAAAGCUUGGAAUCAUUGUAUUUCCCUGAAUAUAAAAUUUCAUUGAUAGUAAGAUAUAUUGUUACUUGUGUAUCACUAAAAACAAACCUGCCAAAUAAACUGUUCUUUCUUAUCACUUA
Molecule: small RNA, 416 nt
Filed under: Pan troglodytes (chimpanzee)
Lineage: Eukaryota; Metazoa; Chordata; Mammalia; Primates; Hominidae
Description: processed transcript
Source: RNAcentral